Molecule: long non-coding RNA, 675 nt
Organism: Daphnia magna
Lineage: Eukaryota; Metazoa; Arthropoda; Branchiopoda; Diplostraca; Daphniidae
Exons: 5
Source: RefSeq, a predicted model, not a curated record
AGUCGCCAUUUCUGAUUCAGUGAGAUUUUUUUCCCCCGGAAAAUCCAUUUGUUCUUGUUUAGGUUUACCAGGAGAUCUUCCUUGCAAUUGGUAAACUGCAGCCACCAGCAGGUAUAGCAUACAACCCCUGUGCUGCUUUGGACUUCGAACAACAUUGUCCACUGGGUUCGUCACUCCAUCUUCGCAGUUCGUGAAGUUCAGCUAAAUCAUAGCAGCCACUGUGCUACUUUGGACUUCGAAUAACAUUGUCCACUGGGUUCAUCACUUCUUCUUCGUAGUUGGUGAAGUUCAGCUACCGGUAUAGCAGCCAUCGGUGCUACUUUGGACUUCGAACAUCAUUGUCCUCCAACAAUCUAAUCAUUCAAAGAAAGGAAGUGACGUCCAUACCCCAGGCUGUUCUCCGAUUCUACCUGUCAAUAAAGUUGAAUUUUCUUCUACAGCUGCCUUUAUACAACCCAUGCUAUUUAAUAUAGCUUUUUGCCAACGGAUCCAAGACGUGAUCGGUCCUUUAUUUGCUAAUGCAGAGUUUUUAAGAUUUUAAAAGACCUAAUACUGACCCUUUCUUUUCUGGCAGAAGUAAAUCAGUGCAUUGCGUUAAUAACAACCCGUACACCGGAAAACAAUUUUCUCAGUGCGUUCCACAAACCAUCAUUCAAGCAAACCCUUCACGGAGUC